AUGCCCGCGCCGGCAUCGGCGUCCCCGGACUACGCCCAGGAGUUGUUCCUGGACGCGGCAUCGUCCGUCUCCGCCUCCUCCGGCGACAUUCGGCAUUGCGCCGGCAUCAUCGCCGACCGCUUCGGCUCCAAGACUCUGCGCGAUCUCGAGACCAAGCACCAUUGGAUGGUGAACCUUACCUGCCAAGUCCAUGGCCUGUCCCGCUUGGUAAGCGACAUGGCGCGGGAGCUCCCACUCUUCAACAACGCUGCGUCAAAUUGCGCCAAGAUCGCCGGCUACUUCAACACCACGCCCUCCGUGCGCGCGCUGCUGCACAAGCACCAAGUCCAGGAGCACGGGCACGCCUUCCUCCUCCCCAUUGCCGCUCCGCCAUAUAAUGGCGGGGAAUUUGCCGCCGCGUUCGUGAUGCUCGAGAGCAUCCUGACCUCGGCGCGGCCGCUCCAGCUCGCCGUGCUCGAGGAGUCCUACAAGGUGGUCUGCAUCGAUGACCUUUCUGCGAGGGAGAUCGCGGCCAUGGUGCAGAAUGUGGCGUUCUGGACCGAGGUCGAGGCGACGCAUUCAGUCGUGAAGAUGAUCAUGGACUUGGUGAAGGAGAUGGAGACCGAGAGGCCCCUGGUCAGAGGCUGGUGCCGGAAAUUCAGCGUAGAAGAGGCCACUGCCAUGAAUGUGGUCGAGAGGAGGUUCAGGAAGAACUACCACCCGGCGUGGUCAGCGGCAUUCAUACUGGACCCAUUGUAUCUGAUCAAGGACGCCGGCAGGAGGUACCUUCCACCGUUCAACUACUUGACACCAGAGCAGGAGAAGGACGUGGACAGGCUGAUCACGAGGCUGGUUUCGUCGGAGGAGGCGCACCUCGCGCUGAUGGAGCUGAUGAAAUGGCGGUCGGAAGGGCUCGACCCAUUGUACGCGCAGGUGGUGCAGGUCCGGCAGCCAGACCCAUCAACGGGGAAGAUGAAGAUAGCCAACAAGCAGAGCAGCCGGCUGGUGUGGGAGACAUGUCUCAGCGAGUUCAAGUCACUUGGCAAAGUGGCCGUCAGGCUCAUCUUCCUCCAUGCAACCGCCAAGGGGUUCAAAUGCACGUCGUCGAUGACGCGGUGGCUCACCGCGCCGGGGAGCUCCGCGGGCAGCAUUGGCCGGGCGCACCGGCUGGUGUUCAUCGCAGCGAACUCGAAGCUGGAGAGGAGGGAUUUCUCAAACGACGACGACAAGGACGUGGAGCUGCUCACGGAAGGAGACGAUGACAUGCUAACCGAGACUAGCAAUGUGGAUCCUUCCUCCUCAGUGUAG
RNAcentral lists this ribosomal RNA (1287 nucleotides) under Triticum aestivum (bread wheat). RNAcentral's name for it is "partial small subunit ribosomal RNA". The record is from RNAcentral. Lineage: Eukaryota; Viridiplantae; Streptophyta; Magnoliopsida; Poales; Poaceae.